This 487-nucleotide ribosomal RNA is filed under the name uncultured Mycobacterium sp. RNAcentral describes it as "bacterial SSU rRNA". It matches the Rfam family "Bacterial small subunit ribosomal RNA", at positions 73 to 575 of the family's 1533-position model. Lineage: Bacteria; Bacillati; Actinomycetota; Actinomycetes; Mycobacteriales; Mycobacteriaceae. The record is from RNAcentral.
GGCCCUUUCGGGGGUACUCGAGUGGCGAACGGGUGAGUAACACGUGGGUGAUCUGCCCUGCACUUUGGGAUAAGCCUGGGAAACUGGGUCUAAUACCGGAUAGGACUACGCGAUGCAUGUCGUGUGGUGGAAAGCUUUUGCGGUGUGGGAUGGGCCCGCGGCCUAUCAGCUUGUUGGUGGGGUGAUGGCCUACCAAGGCGACGACGGGUAGCCGGCCUGAGAGGGUGACCGGCCACACUGGGACUGAGAUACGGCCCAGACUCCUACGGGAGGCAGCAGUGGGGAAUAUUGCACAAUGGGCGCAAGCCUGAUGCAGCGACGCCGCGUGAGGGAUGACGGCCUUCGGGUUGUAAACCUCUUUCAGCUCCGACGAAGCGCAAGUGACGGUAGGAGUAGAAGAAGGACCGGCCAACUACGUGCCAGCAGCCGCGGUAAUACGUAGGGUCCGAGCGUUGUCCGGAAUUACUGGGCGUAAAGAGCUCGUAGG